Molecule: long non-coding RNA, 1087 nt
Organism: Diceros bicornis minor
Lineage: Eukaryota; Metazoa; Chordata; Mammalia; Perissodactyla; Rhinocerotidae
Exons: 3
Source: RefSeq, a predicted model, not a curated record
CUCUCUCUGGGCUUAGCCCAGAACCCUCUGGUGUUGUCAGAGAGACAAGAUUCAGGUAUAAGUGAUGCCUUGUGGUCAUCGGUAAUGGAAAUAUGCAUUAUUCAACUAUGGAUACGUGAUACCAAAGAGAAGAAAUCUUGGAAUGGACCCUGAGCAGAAACAGAUGGCGGCCCAGGAGGAAUCUAUCUGGGACGAAGGGUUGAAGAAAGGCCCUGUGACAGUCACAGUGGUGAAAGGAAUGAAAUGAAGCCGUUCAAAUUUGAAACCCGAGAAGGGAAGCAAGAGAUCUUUCAUGCUAGCGUGGCUACUGAGCGUGAAUUCUUUUCUGUGAAAGUUUUCAGCAAAGAUCUAAAACGUAAAUUCACUCCAAAGAAAAUAAUUAUAACAUCAAAAUAUUAUUGGCGCACUCAUUUCCUGGAAGUGAAUAGUGCCUCUCUAUGGUUGAUGUUAGAUCUGACCAACAGAUCAGUGUCCCAAAGCACUUUAUCAGAAAAGCUGUUGAGAGGCUGGCCCGGUGGCCCAGUGGUUAAGUUCACGUGUUCUGCUUUGGUGGCCUGGGGUUCACUGGUUUGGAUCCAGGGCGCCGACCUACUCACCAGUCCUCAAGCCACGCUGAGUUGGCGUCCCACAUAGAAGAACUAGAAGGACCUACAAUUAGGAUAUACAACUGCAUACUGGGGCUCUGGGGAGAAAAAAAGAAAAAGGGGAAGAUCGACAGAAGAUGUUAGCUCAGGGGCAAUCUUCUUCAAAAAAAAACAUAAAUAAAUAAAUAUAAAUAAAUAUAAAUAAAAGAUGUUGAAAUCCCAAAGAUCAAUAAGCUUCCAACUCAACCCCCUGGAACAAUUCUGAAUGGGCUGUUUGUACUCCAGAAGAAAGGCCUGACGUGGCCUGUCAAUCAUGCAUUGUACACCUGCUUUAAACAUUUACAAAGCAAAGAAUGAUGUCUUUAAAGAUGGGGAUGUAUGCCUCCCUCCAUUUCAGCAUUUCGUUCAAGGUAAUCAUUCUUUCCCAGAAACUAAGGGUCAAACUGACCUACUGUGUACAUCUUGUGACCUGCUGUGAUCAUCUUGUGACCACUGACCUGCUU